Molecule: long non-coding RNA, 585 nt
Filed under: Carica papaya (papaya)
Lineage: Eukaryota; Viridiplantae; Streptophyta; Magnoliopsida; Brassicales; Caricaceae
Description: long non-coding RNA (CPAP_LNC005221)
Source: RNAcentral
UACUGUGGUAGUGCUAAGUGAUACGGUUGGGGCAUCGGGCUAUACUGUGGUGGUGCCGGGUGGUACUGUAGUUGGGGCACUGGAUCAUACUGUGGUGGUGCCGGAUGGUACUGUGGAGGAACAAGGUCGUACCGGGGUGACUCAGAAUCCUUCCGUUGCAAGGGUGGCUCAUCCUGUGGUAGCGGGGUCAGGUAACUCCAUUUUUUCCUCUUGGGCCUGCUGGGCAGCGAUGAAUCUCUCUAGCAUUUCAAAUAAUCGGUCAGCAUCCUCUCGAAGUGAACCCUCCCAAGCGACUCAGUUUAGUGGGACUGUUCCUCUCCUCAUCGAUCUGUACUAGCAUUUCACAAGGAAUGAUUGAGUGAUAAUUCAUUCUUUGGUGUUUCCUAGGGGUUUUGUGUAAGGAAUGAUUCCGAGGAAUGCAGCUCUGAUACCAACCGUAACGGCCCAGAACUUGAAAGGAAAUAAAUUAUAAAUUGAAUUCGGAAGCGAAAUAAUAAUGUUAGAGUUUACAUUCCUUACACAAUAAUUUAGAAUACCCAAUAGGGCUACGGGAAUGACCCUUCUAAAAGAACAACGGAACAUCUU